GAAUGUGAGGGCAAUCUGACUGUGACAUCUGUCACCCCACUGAUCACGAGGGUUGAUUUGGCUGAUCUGGCUGGCUAGGCAGGUGUCCCCUUCCUCCCUCACUGCUCCACAAGCAUCCCUCCCAAAGCUGCACACUUAGUUGAAGAGGACAACCUUCACUUAUAGAGGAGAACCAGCCUUUAGUCAAGGCUACAUGAGUAGCUGCACUCCCCUGCUAGAACCUCCAAUCAAGCUCUCCAGGUCCAUCUGCAGGAAAACGUAGGGUAGUCAAGCUUCCAAGAUUGCAGAUACAUCCAAAUGUGGUGCCGCAUGUGGCAGUCUGCCUUUCUUU
This 331-nucleotide small nuclear RNA is filed under the name Tursiops truncatus (common bottlenose dolphin). Its description in RNAcentral is "7SK RNA (ENSTTRG00000022884.1)". It matches the Rfam family "7SK RNA". From Rfam's summary of the family: 7SK was discovered as an abundant small nuclear RNA in the mid-70s but a possible function has only recently been suggested. Two independent studies have found that 7SK RNA binds the CDK9/cyclin T complex (known as elongation factor P-TEFb). The record is from Rfam by way of RNAcentral. Lineage: Eukaryota; Metazoa; Chordata; Mammalia; Artiodactyla; Delphinidae.